This is a non-coding RNA of Potamilus streckersoni, 73 nucleotides long. NCBI's taxonomy places the organism in Eukaryota, Metazoa, Mollusca, Bivalvia, Unionida, Unionidae. The record is from the annotation of a GenBank genome assembly.
GCUCUGGUGGCGUAGUGGUUAGAGUGUCUGCCUUGGAUGCGGAAGGUCGCGGGUUCAAAUCCCGACCAAGUCA